RNAcentral lists this ribosomal RNA (777 nucleotides) under uncultured Neocallimastigales. RNAcentral describes it as "partial large subunit ribosomal RNA". It matches the Rfam family "Eukaryotic large subunit ribosomal RNA", at positions 23 to 645 of the family's 3401-position model. The record is from RNAcentral. Lineage: Eukaryota; Fungi; Neocallimastigomycota; Neocallimastigomycetes; Neocallimastigales.
AGAGAUGUGUGAUGACGCAUAUCAAUAAGCGGAGGAAAAGAAACUAACAAGGAUUCCCUUAGUAACGGCGAGUGAAGCGGGAAGAGCUCAAAUUUGAAAUCUUCAAGGUUCUACCUUGACGAAUUGUAGUUUAUAGAAGUGUUUUCUGUUAGUAGAGUGGCAAAAGUUCUUUGGAAUAGGACAUCAUAGAGGGUGAGAAUCCCGUAUUUGGUCCAUUCCUUCCUAGCUUAGUGAUACACUUUCAACGAGUCGGAUUGUUUGGGAAUGCAGUCCAAAAUGGGUGGUAAAUUUCAUCUAAAGCUAAAUAUUGGCGAGAGACCGAUAGCGAACAAGUACCGUGAGGGAAAGAUGAAAAGAACUUUGAAAAGAGAGUUAAACAGUACGUGAAAUUGUCAAAAGGGAAGCGUUUGACACCAGUGUUGUUUUUCCGAAAAUCAAUUACGAAUGUUUUGUUUUUGAGAAGUUAUGACUUCAUCGGCUUGCUUCUCUCUUUACGAAACUUUCUUAAUGCACUUUUCGGUUAACAAGUCAACAUCAAUUUCUUUUGUUGUAAAAGGGUAUGAGGAAGGUGGCUUUCUUUUCGGAGAAAGUGUUUAUAGCCUUGUACCUCUGCAAUCGGAGAGAUUGAGGUCUGCAGCGUAGAUCCUUCGGGGUUAGAUACAUUUGUGCUAAGUUAUAGCUUGUCAUAGACAACUUGUUGACUAUGUUAAGUCAUUGUAGCUUACUCGCUUAUGCUAUUUUACCUACGCUUAGGAUGUUGAAGUCAUCGUAUCGCGC